UUAAGGAUUUGAUGCAUUGAUCCACCUAGACCCAAUACGGGCGUCAAGGGCAGGUGGGGAGCGAGUGACGCGACCGGCAGAACCGGCU
RNAcentral lists this non-coding RNA (88 nucleotides) under unclassified sequences. Its description in RNAcentral is "c-di-GMP sequence". It matches the Rfam family "c-di-GMP-II-GAG riboswitch aptamer". The record is from Rfam by way of RNAcentral.